This 85-nucleotide transfer RNA is filed under the name Felis catus (domestic cat). It matches the Rfam family "tRNA". Rfam says of the family: Transfer RNA (tRNA) molecules are approximately 80 nucleotides in length. Lineage: Eukaryota; Metazoa; Chordata; Mammalia; Carnivora; Felidae. The record is from Rfam by way of RNAcentral.
GCCUGGGUGGCUCAGUCGGUAGAGUGUCCGACUUCGGCUCAGGUCACGAUCUCGCGGUUCACGGGUUCAAGCCCCGCGCCAGGUU